Symphalangus syndactylus (siamang) is the source of this 1173-nucleotide long non-coding RNA. RefSeq lists it as uncharacterized. Lineage: Eukaryota; Metazoa; Chordata; Mammalia; Primates; Hylobatidae. The record is from RefSeq and is a predicted model, not a curated record.
CUCAGUGAACCUGCUGCCAUUCCACUUAGCAGAGGUAUGUUAAGAGCUCUGCUUACUCCAGAACAGUUUCCUUCAAAGAUGAAGUCCUGAUUCCCUUAGAGCAAGCCCGGGUAUUGCUGAGAUGGUCUCAGCAAUCCCCAUCAUCAACUGUGCCACUCAUUCUUAUUUUGUCCUUUUCAUCUCUUCCUUGAGUUGUGCUCUGCUGUGCUUUAGGGAGGACCUUGCCUUCUAUUGCCAGCUCUGAAUCUUCAAACUGCCCUCAGGGAAUGCUCCUCCUGGCUAUGCUUUGGCCCCACACUUGAGACAACAUUCCAGGAUCGCCUUCAUGGGUGGGAUCCAGGAAACUUCUAUUAUAGAAGAUCAGUCUCCCCAACUAGACUGUGAGCUCCUUAAAGCAGGAAUUGUUAUAAUUAUUUUCACUGCCAAACUCGGCAUCUGGCAUAUCGUAUGCACUCAGGGAAUGUCUACGGAAUGAAUGAACUUAAGGAUAAUACACGUGACAGAAUGUUAAAAUGGAAGUUUUGGCUGAGAUCUAAAGAUGACAGAUAUAAGAUACCAAAGCGAACUGGAAACAGACCACCCUGAAGAAUGUGCAAGAAGAGUGCCUGAGGACUCGUUAAUCAACUCUUAAAUCUUUCAUCAACGUGGAAGAGGAACAAGAAAAAAGCUAAUAUGUUGGAGAGAAAGUGAAUGAGGAAGAAAGAAGAAUCUGAUUAGGGCUAUGUCUCGUUUCUGGCAGACUCCAGCUGGAAGAACUGGGAAACAUCUUACCUUUACCUUUACGUAUUCUCUGAUAUUUGAAUUUCUGAAUUUUGGCUACAUAUCACAAUUUAAAGGACUAUAAAGGUUAUAUUAUCUAAGUGACUUUAUAUUUAUCUAAAAAAGUAAUGGAACACCAGAAUUUUUUACCAGGGCAGGGAAAAACUAGCUUUACUGCACAAAUGCAAAGGGAUAAUGAGAAUAGAAAAUAAAGUUAUAAUUUUUUAUUCUAUCUCAAUAAUCAUAUUUGUGCUACAUAAUUUUUUGUUUGCUCCAUAUAACUUGUUAAAAACAAGUUAAAAACAAGAUAUGCAUAUGAAAACAAGUUAUACAUGCAUAAUAAAGAUUGGGUCAAUAUAUAUUAAAAUGUUAACAGGUUGGAUAGCAUGGGUAACAAUUUUUUUUCUUGUCAAG